Molecule: RNA transcript, 1844 nt
Organism: Cucumis melo (muskmelon)
Lineage: Eukaryota; Viridiplantae; Streptophyta; Magnoliopsida; Cucurbitales; Cucurbitaceae
Exons: 6
Source: RefSeq, a predicted model, not a curated record
GAUUGUUCAGUAAAACGUUGUUCCUCUUCCUACUCCGCUCCCCCAACUCCGAAUUCAUGAAUUCAUGGAUUCAUUAUCAUUUUCAUUUUCAGAAGAAUGUAACUCUUAGUUUCUCUUUUCCAAUCGGAGUCUCUCAUUGGUGGAUUCAAUCGUGAACUCCAUACAAUCUGUUGCUUCCAAGUGUUCAAGAACUAGUUGUCGACAUCCUCACCACCAUGCUCAACAAUCUGUUCCAAUUAAGAGCUACCUCUCCAUCUUUCUUCAAGCCUUCUAUUACAUCUCUUAUCGCAGCUCUGCCUCUGUCGAAAUGUCGUUCCAUAUCGGCUUUUGGCUUCACUCAUUAGUCUUCACGAGGUUUAGUGUCUCUGGACUAAGGUAGAGGAGAAGCUGAAAGACUAGAAAAGGAUAAAGCAUUUGCAUUCUACAUUGAAGCUCAAGGUUCUUUUCCUGAGUCAUGGAAGAUCGUCAAAGCAAGAGAAGCUCCAGAACGUCCAUUAUCAAAGGCCUAAAUGCUUCAAUUCGGCCUAUGAACAUUCAAAUGGACAAUCACUUGGUAAUUGGGGGAACCAGACACUAUCACCAGGAAACUAACUGUAAAAGUCCGACAAUCGUCGAUUGUUACAAUAUUAUGAAUCACUAUGCUAGCAGCACUUCUGGAAGCAAUAGCUUUGGUUCUCGGGGAGCAGGGUUGUCAUUAUCACCACUUUCGGCGAUUGAGAAUUUGGAAACACCACCUGUAAAGUCUCCACAAAUUUAUGGAACUCCCAUGAAGGUCGAUGAAGAAGUGAUAGUAAUGGAUGGGAUUUUGAUCAGUUCAAUUCAUGGGGAAGCAAAGAUAGUGAGGUCUCCAUUAGAUUCUGGAAGUGGUGGAGGGGGGAAAAAUCAAUACAGAUCGGACAUUUGCCGCUACUGGGAGGAUUCUGGUAGCUGCCGCUUUGGCAACAAAUGCCAGUUUGCGCAUGGAAAGGAGGACCUUCGGCCAGGUCGUUUACCAGUUAGAACCAAGACUAAGGUACCAUUGACAUCUAAUAAAUUAAAUACACUACAGGUUUUGUUCGGAUAAAAGACACUUUUAGAUUUGCAUAUUCUUCGCCACUACAGUUCAGCGAAACGUAUGGUUCCAAGUUCCGCAACAAUCAUUCACUAUCAGGAAUAUCUGCGACAACCACAACGCAAUCAAACUCAAACUUGGUAGAUACAAUCACCAAAACUGAACUAAGCAAAAGAGAAGGUCUUACUCCAACAUCCUCGACAUUAAAACGGCAAACGAACACUAACCCUACCCUUAUUUCGACCAUUUCUAUCAUCGAUUGGUCGCCUGAAGAUGAUGGGAUCAAAGAUUGGUCGCCUGAAGAUGAUGGCAUAAAAAUUGUUGUCCCCGGAACAGAGUCGACAAAAAGAGAAGAUGUAAACCAACACAUCCAUGAGGUUCUUUAUGGUUCCACCACUGAGAGGACUAAAAAGAGACUCCCAGUUUUCAGUCAACUUUGCUCUGAAGAACUACAAGAAGAAUAAGCAACACCAAGCUCUUUUUCAUUAUCAAAUUGCACAUUAUUCUCAUAAAAACUUUCUCUCAUAUUGGUUUACACCAUUUUGUUUUUAAAACAGGUUCAUAUAGUAUUCAUCGGUCAUAAAAGAAGAAAUUAGGUAGCCAUUACUUAGUUGUAGCUGUAUGUAAAAUGAGUGAAAACAAUGAUCUGAGUGGUAACUCACUAUUUCGUUUGCAUAAGGCUCUGGUGAAGUCGAUGAUAAAUACUAAAUUUGGGAAGAAAAAUGAAUGAACGGGAAGUAAUGGAACUUCACGAUUUACUAGAUAAAAUACAUGUUUAUCGGUAUUCUUUUCA